ACUCACCGUAGAGCCCAAUCAGGGUUUCCAAGAUUAAAACCCUCUCCGCUAAAAUCUUCAGCGCCUCGCGCAGCUGGUGCAAACCCUCCCCCUGCGGAGGAAGAGACGGGGUGGCCGUGAGGGUGUCCCGUCCCCCGGCGCCAGCCCUGCUCCGCACCCCGCGGGCGGCUGCAGGGGACGGCGGGUGGCAGUGCCACCCCCAUUGCGCCUAGGGGCGCAGACACCCCGGGGSGGGGCAGCUGCGACCGGCCGUGCCCUCAAAUUUUGGGGUGGGGGUCAAGCGCAGUGGGGACCCCCAUGCCAUCGUUGGGGUCCUGGGGAGGAGAUGCGGGUGCUGGGCACAGCGGGGACCCCCAUGCCAUCAUCGGGGUCCCGGGGACACGAUGCAGGUACCAGGCACAUUGGGGACCCCCAUGCCAUCGUCGGGGUCCCAGGGAUGUGAUGGGGGCACCAGGCACAGCGGGGACCCCCCAUGCCAUCGUCGGGGUCCCGGGGAUGUGAUGCAGGUACCAGGCACAGCGGGGACCCCCAUGCCAUCAUCAGAGUCCCAGGGGUGAGACACAGGUGACAGGGACAGCUGGGGACCCCCUUGCUAUCAUCAGGGUCCUGAGGGGUGACGUGCAGGCACCAGGCACAGUGGGGACCCCCAUGCCAUCUUCAGGGUCCCAGGGACAAGAUGCAGGUGCUGGGCACAGCCGGGGACCCCGUGCCAUUGUCGGGGUCCCAGGGAUGAGAUGCAGGUGCUGGACACAGCCGGGGACCCCCAUGCCAUCGCUGGGCUCCCAGGGGUGACGUGCAGGCACCAGGCACAGCGGGGACCCCCAUGCCAUCAUCAAGGUCCCAGGGGUGAGACACAGGCGAUGGGGACAGCUGGGGACCCACAUGCCAUCAUCAGGGUCCUGAGGGGUGACACGCAGGCACCAGGCACAGCCGGGGACCCCCAUGCCAUCACCGGGCUCCCAGGGGUGACACACAGGCACCAGGCACAGCCGGGGACCCCCAUGCCAUCGCCGAGGUCCCAGGGUGCUGGACACAGCCGGGGACCCCCAUGCCAUCGUCGGGGUCCCAGCACAGGCGCAGGCAGCACAUUCCCAUGCGGAGGCGACGUCACCCGCGGAGGGGCUGCGCUGUCCCCCAGCCGGGGUGGGCGCCAGCUGGCACGCGGUGCCCCGACACCCCCGUGCGCCGGGGGGGGGCUCGGUGGCCGAGGGUCCGCGCUCGGGGGCCACAUGCGGAGCCGGCGGGCACAGCCAGAGCGGCGAGGGCGCCCCGGGUUAGUAAGGAAGGAGGCGGCCGGUGGCAGGUCCCCCUGUCCCCUGGGGAAGGAGCCUGGC
This 1334-nucleotide long non-coding RNA is filed under the name Apteryx haastii (Great spotted kiwi). RNAcentral describes it as "lncRNA (ENSAHAG00000017011.1)". The record is from RNAcentral. Lineage: Eukaryota; Metazoa; Chordata; Aves; Apterygiformes; Apterygidae.